CUGAAAAUAUAUCAUGCAAAUCUGUCUUAGUAGCAGCAUAUUUAAUCUUCUUUUGGUACAAGGAUAACGUACUUGGAUUUGAAAUGGAAGAAAGAAUACUGUUGUUACAUAUUGUUGCAUGUUGCUAAAAUGUUGUUAUCAUCUCCAAGGCUUUGAUUAAUUAACUCUAGAUUAUUAUUGAUGAAUAGCUAUAUUUUUAUGCUUUUUCCUGUGUAAGAUGAUCAGGAUAUAGUUUAUAGCUGCUCUUUGCAACUUGGUCAAAUUUUGGAAGAAAAGAUGAUACCAAAAGUGACAAAUCCUCCAUUCGUGCUCAAAUCUUCGAAUGGUUCCCCUCUCAAUUCUGGAGGAGGAAUUGGUGCCCAGCAGCAUGGAGGUACUUUGGCCCAUUUUUUUGAGCUGCCCACAUCCGUAAGCUCCUAUCACAUGGUAAUUAAGUCCAUAUAAGGAACAGAAAAAAGAUUUGAUUUCAGUGCUGUAUGUAGGUUUUUUAAUAGAAAAAUCACAUAGGCAGUACAAACCUGCAAAAAAGCUGUUGCAAUAAUCACAUCUGAAUGUUCUUUGAAACGCAUUGGGAAUACUGCAGCGAUUUUUAGUGGCUUCCAAUCCGGAAAUAGUAAGAAAAUACAUUGUGAAAGUUCUAAACCUGAAUCUGAUAUGGUAAGAGUAAAGUACUACUUUUGGUCAAAAUCUGAAUAGAAAGGUUUAGCCAAGUAUUGUGGGAAUUUUCUGUAUGCCUGAAGUUUAAAGUAAACUGAAGAUUUAAGUUAUUUAAACUUUUGAAUGACUUGAAUUUGGAAUGAACCAUCAAACUAUUUCGAAUGCUAACCACAUUUUGAGAAAGGCCAAAGAAUAAGGCAAUUUUUUAUGUUUCUACCUUAUGAGUUAUCAACAACUAUAAGUUUUUGGCAUAUGGAGUGAUUAGGGUAUUCUGCAUGAGGUUGGAAGAUAUAACGCAAAUGAGUUGCAAAUGUCUUGUGGAUAUGUAGUUACUGCAUUUGAAGCCUUUUAAGGCAAAUUGAGGUUUGUUACAUAAUGGAAUUAAGGUUAUGGUGUCCAUUGUAAUACUACUCCUCACGAUUCCAUUAUUUUUAGACUUGGAGCUUACCUGUUUGAUGACAUAAAAUGUCUCUCUCGGGUGAUAGACUAGCUUGAUUGGUUUGCACAUCCCUUGAAAAGUAUCCUCAGAGUUGACAGUCCACAACAUUUCUUUCAGCUGAGAACUUAGUAUUGUUGCUUGCACCGUAGAAAUUUCUGAGAUUACCUUCAUAGAGUCUGGAAAAAGAAUAUGGAAUCAAUCUAGCUAUAUUAGGAACUAUGGACAUUUCAUUGGUUUGUGUAAUAAUGCAUUCUCUCUCUCUCUGUGUGUGUUGGAUGCUAAUGCUAUAGUCAUGCUUUUCUGGUAGUUGUGUUUUAAAGAAAAGGGAAAAAAGGACUGAGCUUCCUUGAGAGAGGAGCAAAGAAUUGUUAGUGAAAUCUUAGGUAUCUUUACAUUGUGAACAUCAACUUAUUUUUGUUCUUGAAAAUUUUACUUUCUUCUCAUCUUUUUUCUUGACAUUCAAAUUUAACAUUUUAGUCAGCCAAUUCACCAUUAUUAUUUUAUUAAAAAUGAACAAACCUUACCUUUGAUUCAAACAUGUAGUCAUUCUUAUGGGACACAAAUUACUACUAUAUAUUGUGGCAAAGUGCCUACUAUUAUUGAGAUUGGGUGAAGGAUAAACAGACCUUUACCACGUGGAAUCUUAGAUAAGUUGAGUCUUAGAGUAAGCUGGUAUCCCUCUUUAGCAGGUUGAACAAUCUCCACAACAUCUAAAGAAAUGGCCUUUACCAUCUCCAUACUGUAAUGUGAAAGCCCAUAUGAUAGCAAGUCUCCUUGGGACAGUAGUGGGGUUGAUAUUGACAAGUAGGCAUGCUGCGGAUCUGACAGUGAAGACUGUUCAACAAUAAGAGGCCAUUUACAGUAAGUCUCAAAUUCUUUCUUGAAAGCCUAUUUAUAUGUUUUAUGUCAUCACAGUAUAUGCACACUCUUAUAACUAGUACUUUAUCCCUAAAAAUUUACUUAUUCUGAUAUGAGAAUUGGUUUAAUCUGAGUCUAGCAGAUUCCACUAUUCUUUGCUAAAGAUAUGCUUCAGUAAUCUUUCCAACUAAGUCGAGUAUUUGCUUUUUUUUUUUUUUUAAUUCCCAAAUGCAGAUUGGCUCUUGAAUUGUGAUUUUCUGACCAUGUACAUAUGGACUAUUUUCUCGAUUGGUCGCAUGAAUUGACUGGAUGUCUAAAUUUCAAAAUACAAGAAGAUUGUGGAAAGUUCACCUGAACAUGGUAUUCCACUGACCCAAAUUCAUGCAAGUGAUGAUCAAUCUCAAUUGGUUUAUCAGCACUGUCAUGAAAGGAACAAUAGUUAUCAUUAGCAUAAUUUUGCAGUCAUCAACAAUAAACUACUACUUUUUCCCAAGUGAUAAUAUGCUCUUGUAGGCCUAAUUUACUUUAAAAAAAGGAUCACUGGUCAGUUAACAAGUAUGAUUUGCAGAUCUACAGUUAUAGCUUAUAGUUCUUAUGCUGCAUUUGUGUUGUUGAGUGAUAUGAUGUCAAGAUUUAACUGAACCAAAUGAUAGAACCUGUCAAGAUGCUGUUUGAUCGUGUGUUUCACUUGCUGAAUUUGAGGCUGUCCCUAAGAAAAUUAUGGAAACAAAAGUGUUCCUUGCUUUUGUGGUGGGAUUGGAUUUAUUAUCAAAUAUGCUAAGAAUUCUUCUGUUAAGCUUUGUCCCACCAUCUACAUACAUUAUUUCUGGACACAUCAUUGUUUUGUCUGCCUGUAAAUCAAAAGUUCCUGUCUAUAACUAUACUAGAGACGGUGUGGCUGUCAUUUAUGAGAAACAUUAUCUGCAGCUGCUCCAUUUGGUUGUGUUACAACUUCCUAUAUGAUUUCUAGCUUUGACAUUUGAGGGUGUAAUCAUUGAUUCAUGUAUUCUGAUUUUUAUGAUGACAAGGUGACUGAUAUCUAGCCAUAGAAGGGAAUCUUGACUUGGGUUUCUGUAACUAUCAAGUGUAUAAGGUAAUAAGGAUUGUCAUUUGGUAUGGUUUUCAGUUACAUUCAGAAUUAUACUAAUGUUUUAAGAUAUACAAACACACAUGCACACACACUACUAAUUCACCUUUCUAUUUCAGGAGUGCAGUAUUGCCAUGUUCAUCUUUUAAACUGAACUACUCAUCACCAUGCAUGGAGUAUCAAGGUAUGAAAAUGUAUGCAAGCAGAAGCAAAAGUAAAAUAUUUUAUGAUUUUCCAUAAGUUCAAUAAGGGUACCUGGGAAUUUUCCUUAGACAAAAUAAAUGUGCUUACCGGUACAAUUGGAGCAGGAUCUUUUUCAGAGAUGGAGAGGCUCUCUCAAAACAUGCCAUGAUAAUGGGUUAGAAAAUGAACUGAAACACUCAGUUGUUGCACCUUAAAUUUGUUGUGAAGAUAAGGAAUUUUGGAGUAAAAUGCAAGUGUAAUUUUCUGUUGCUA
Molecule: long non-coding RNA, 3497 nt
Filed under: Citrus maxima (pomelo)
Lineage: Eukaryota; Viridiplantae; Streptophyta; Magnoliopsida; Sapindales; Rutaceae
Description: long non-coding RNA (CMAX_LNC003681)
Source: RNAcentral